This 1719-nucleotide long non-coding RNA is filed under the name Mus musculus (house mouse). Its description in RNAcentral is "long non-coding RNA chr5:110137694-110139413". Lineage: Eukaryota; Metazoa; Chordata; Mammalia; Rodentia; Muridae. The record is from RNAcentral.
UUUUUUUUUUUUUUUUUCUUACUUUUUUUCUUUUUUGGUUUUUUGAGGCAAGGUUUUCCUGUAUAACAGCCCUGGCUGUCUUGGAACUUCCUUUGUAGACCAUGCUGGCCUCAAAGUCAUAGAGAUCUGCCUGCUUCUGCCUCUCAAGUGCUGGGAUUAAAGGCGUGCGCCACCACAGCACAGAAUCUUCUAACUCCUGCUUUUUUCUGUCUCCUCAAGCCAGUGUCACUGGCAGAUACCCUCACCAUGACUUUCUACAGCUUCCACUAGUUGUCAGUUACUUCCUCUUUCAGGGGCCUGGGUAGAACCUGUGAACCCAGCAUCCAUGGGGCCUUCCCUAGCUGGGCCAUGUCUGUGUCUUACCUUUUCAUGUACUCAUCUUCUUCUUUGGUGCCUAAGUUGUGUCUGCGUGUUGGCUGGGUCUGUUGAGCUAUUGGCAGGGAAUGCAAAGAUCACUAUGUAGAAACUCAGUGACUGUCAGACCAGAGUGAGCAGAAGGCUAAUAAUAGUAGCAGGGGCUUGAGGCCUUCUGUGACCCAUCAACCACUACUGCAAGACCAUGGAGGGCUUUAGAACAAGAUUCUUGCUGCCUUUAUUGGCAGCUCUAGAUUUGAGCACAGAUGGGUAAUACCCAUCUAGCUGCUGGUGAUGUCUGAAUCGGUGUUUGAUGUAUCAGAACAGACCCUGUGUCUAAGUCUGAAAACCAGUAUCACUUAACUGACCGUGAACAACCUGGAGAUGUAGGUUAUAAACCUUGAAGAAAAGCCGAUGUGCCUGCAGAAUCACAAAGCAUCUGCACAGACUGGCAGGGACGUGACGUGUAUUUCGCCUUGGGCAUUGACCUAUACGUGAUCUUAAAAAAGACAAGACAGUAUGAGAUUGUGGCAGAGAAGAACUGGUGAGUAGCUGACACUGAAUCAAACUGAGGAGCUGGACUCUCAGGUGGUCACCACAUGGAGUAACUUAACUCUACACAAGCAAGUCUUAGGUUAUGGACCUACAACAUAUCCUUUACAGUCCUGAAAUACAGCUUCCAUUGUAGCUUGACAUGCAAGCAUUCCUGGAAGGCAUGCUAACAGAGGAGUCCACUUUAGAGACCAGUUAUAGAGCCCAGUUGGCACAAACCUAGGCAAUGAUCAGCUGCAUCUAAGCCUAUCUGGGUACCAUGUAUGCUGGAGUGCCAGCAACUCGUGGACAUCAGCUAGUGGCUGGGGGAGGAUAGCCAACUAUGCAGCCUGGUUACUGUCCAAACACUCAUCCCCAGGUUCUCUGAGCUAUUAGAUAUCUAGACUUUUUUUCUUACAGAGAGCUUCAUCUGGUAAAUGAAGGGAGGGAUCCUGGCCUUGGCUCAUUCCCUUUCCUGCCAAUAAAGUUGGUGGUUCAAGGAGGGGGAAAUGCUGUGUCUUCUGAUCCACCAACAUAUAUACAGUGGCAAUUUUGGAAUUUUUGAUUCUUUAGAAAACAGGAAUAUUGUAAGAAUAUAGUAUGGAGAUGUGGAGCUGCUUCAGACUGUCCACAGCAGCUGACCAUGAUUUGCUUCAUGCUCUGGCAGGAGUCUGAUUUUGCCAGUGGCAAAUAGUUUCUACAAUUGUGUGACAUUUGGUUUGAAUUCUGGGGAAUUUUCAAAGGGUAUAUGAGUGGUAGGGUCCUAAGAGGCAGGGUGGGUUGUUGGUUGUUGGUUGGUUGUUGUUGUUCGUAGUUUGUUAAGUGGUUGUGUCC